CAGCAGCCACGGGAACACGGAGGGUGCAAGCGUUAAUCGGAAUUACUGGGCGUAAAGCGCACGCAGGCGGUCUGACAAGUCAGAUGUGAAAUCCCCGGGCUUAACCUGGGAACUGCAUUUGAAACUGUCAGGCUGGAGUCUUGUAGAGGGGGGUGGAAUUCCAGGUGUAGCGGUGAAAUGCGUAGAGAUCUGGAGGAAUACCGGUGGCGAAGGCGGCCCCCUGGACAAAGACUGACGCUCAGGUGCGAAAGCGUGGGGAGCAAACAGGAUUAGAUACCCCGGUAGUCCCUGUCUCUUAUAC
RNAcentral lists this ribosomal RNA (301 nucleotides) under uncultured bacterium. RNAcentral's name for it is "partial 16S ribosomal RNA". It matches the Rfam family "Bacterial small subunit ribosomal RNA", at positions 509 to 807 of the family's 1533-position model. The record is from RNAcentral.